RNAcentral lists this long non-coding RNA (401 nucleotides) under Mytilus galloprovincialis (Mediterranean mussel). The record is from RNAcentral. Lineage: Eukaryota; Metazoa; Mollusca; Bivalvia; Mytilida; Mytilidae.
GCUAGUAGGCUGUUGUUAUUUAUGUAUUAUUGUCAUUUUGUUUAUUUUCUUUGGUUACAUCUUCUGACAUCAGACUCGGACUUCUCUUGAACUGAAUUUUAAUGUGCGUAUUGUUAUGCGUUUACUUUUCUACAUUGGCUAGAGGUAUAGGGGGAGGGUUGAGAUCUCACAAACAUGUUUAACCCCGCCGCAUUUUUGCGCCUGUCCCAAGUCAGGAGCCGCUGGCCUUUGUAAGUCUUGUAUUAUUUCUAAUUUUAGUUUCUUGUGUACAAUUUGGAAAUUAGUAUGGCGUUCAUUAUCACUGAACUAGCAUAUAUUUGUUUAGGGGCCAGCUGAAGGACGCCUCCGGGUGCGGGAAUUUCUCGCUACAUUGAAGACCUGUUGGUGACCUUCUGCUGUUG